RNAcentral lists this ribosomal RNA (577 nucleotides) under Hysterangium sp. PDD 103520. RNAcentral's name for it is "eukaryotic LSU rRNA". The stretch from base 196 to 350 matches the Rfam family "5.8S ribosomal RNA". Lineage: Eukaryota; Fungi; Basidiomycota; Agaricomycetes; Hysterangiales; Hysterangiaceae. The record is from RNAcentral.
ACAAGGUUUCCGUAGGUGAACCUGCGGAAGGAUCAUUAAUGAAACUUGAAGUCUUUUGACCCGCGGCCGAGUCGCGGGGAGAUAGACCGUUCCACACACCCGUGCACCCAGCGGACGUUUCGGCGUCCGCUCCCUCGAUCACACACGCGCCUGUAGUGAAGCAUGUCUUUUGAGCUCUACGGAGCGAACUAAUACAACUUUCAACAACGGAUCUCUUGGCUUUCGCAUCGAUGAAGAACGCCGCGAAAGUGCGAAACGUAAUGUGAAUUGCAGAAUUCAGUGAAUCAUCGAAUCUUUGAACGCAUCUUGCGCUCCUCGGCAUUCCGAGGAGCAUGCCUGUUUGAGUGUCGUGAAGUCUCUCGGCUCCCAGCCUUCGCUGCGCUUGGGAGUUGGAUUUGGACGCUGUCGUCCCCUUUGGGGGGACGGCUCGUCUCGAAACGCAUUAGCCGUCCCAUUGCACAGACAACGGUGUGAUAAGAAACUCGCCCGCGUCGGUGGUAGGGUGGGUCGGCUCACAGUCGUCUUUGGACAAACUUUCAACCUCUGACCUCAAAUCAGGUAGGACUACCCGCUGAAC